RNAcentral lists this transfer RNA (76 nucleotides) under Lentisphaerota bacterium. Its description in RNAcentral is "Lentisphaerae bacterium (anaerobic digester metagenome) tRNA-Trp". It matches the Rfam family "tRNA". Rfam says of the family: Transfer RNA (tRNA) molecules are approximately 80 nucleotides in length. Their secondary structure includes four short double-helical elements and three loops (D, anti-codon, and T loops). The record is from RNAcentral. RNAcentral also lists the same sequence under 1 other name. Lineage: Bacteria; Pseudomonadati; Lentisphaerota.
ACGUCGGUAGUUCAAUUGGUAGAGCGGCGGUCUCCAAAACCGCAAGUUGCAGGUUCGAGUCCUGCCCGACGUGCCA